UACGAAGGGGGCUAGCGUUGCUCGGAAUCACUGGGCGUAAAGGGUGCGUAGGCGGGUCUUUAAGUCAGGGGUGAAAUCCCGGAGCUCAACUCCGGAACUGCCUUUGAUACUGGGGAUCUUGAGUCCGGAAGAGGUGAGUGGAACUCCGAGUGUAGAGGUGAAAUUCGUAGAUAUUCGGAAGAACACCAGUGGCGAAGGCGGCUCACUGGUCCGGUACUGACGCUGAGGUGCGAAAGCGUGGGGAGCAAACAGG
RNAcentral lists this ribosomal RNA (253 nucleotides) under uncultured bacterium. RNAcentral describes it as "partial 16S ribosomal RNA". It matches the Rfam family "Bacterial small subunit ribosomal RNA", at positions 524 to 776 of the family's 1533-position model. The record is from RNAcentral.